CUUUGGUAGUCCCAGAGUGGGGAGAAGGGCCUUUGCUUCCCGGACCAAGUGUGUUGCGGUGCCAUGUUGAAUUUCUGUGCUGUAUUUUCCAUCUGUACAUAAUGCCUUUAGACCGGAGGAGGGAUGUAAAGGUCUGGAGUGAUCUACUCCAUGCCAUUGUGCUCCCGGACAAGUCCGCAUAGAAUGUGAGCGGCAUGCCUUCAAAGGUGUACGGUGAGUGGUUCCGGACCGUGGCCAUGACAGCUGCUUUAUCUUUGCCGCUUUGGAAUCUAACCAAGAGGUCUCUCUGUGCUGAGGUUGGUGCAUUCGCUGACUUUUGCAGGCGGAAUAUCCCCUCCUGUCCCACCAGUUUAGCUUGCUUAGGCAGUAGUAAUGCUGUGAGGAGUCGCCGUAUGAGAUGUGGUAGUUCUGUCUCAGGUGUAUUCUCUGAUAUACCUCUAAUUUUGAGUUUUAGUCUGUGCGUCUGGUCCUCCAUAACUGCAAACCUUAGGUCCGAUUUUGCCUGUUGUAGUUGCAGGUCUUGAACUGCCUGUUGGAGUUGGGCUGUUUGCUGAGUGUUUAGGCUAGUGUCAAUUUCCAGUGACCCCAUGCGGUUCGUUAGGCCUAGUAGGUCUUUCCGGAGAUGGCCCAUGUCGGCCUGAAUGGUGCACUGAAGGUAUGCAAGCAAAUCUUUCAUGAUUGCCGUUGUCACAGGGGCCAAGUCUGGAUGAGAGUUGGGAGGCCUUAGGGCCCUCUGCUCCGGCGGGUGUCCCGCUGCCAUUCCCAG
Non-coding RNA from Pelobates cultripes (western spadefoot toad), 766 nucleotides. The record is from the annotation of a GenBank genome assembly. NCBI's taxonomy places the organism in Eukaryota, Metazoa, Chordata, Amphibia, Anura, Pelobatidae.